Molecule: long non-coding RNA, 1417 nt
Organism: Papaver somniferum (opium poppy)
Lineage: Eukaryota; Viridiplantae; Streptophyta; Magnoliopsida; Ranunculales; Papaveraceae
Exons: 5
Source: RefSeq, a predicted model, not a curated record
ACGUGUAAAUUGAAGUACCCGAAAUACCCUCCCAUACAAACUUAAUCUAAUGGUGGUAGAUAAAGUGAAAUAAUGAAUGGUGGAAAUUCAACACUGACAGCACCAUCUCCCGUUCUUCCUAUUGCUUCUAAUCUUCAAAACCCUAUAAAACAAACUCAACGGAAACAGCUGCAGAUGCAGAUCUCCUUCUCUUCUACUCGAUUUCAACAUCAACAACCAUUCAUAUAUCUCAUAUUCAGAAGCGAACCAAAAUCAAAUCUAACUACAAACCAAUCUUUGUUAACUAAUUUCUCAGCAUCAAACUAUAUUCAUCUUCGAAAUCUCUCUUUUCUGCUCGGAAACAACACACAAGACCCCUUCAAUCAUCAUCAAACCCAUUUCAGUUCCGAAAUCAAACAUAACCCAUGUUUCAUUAACCUCUACUUUGUUUUACUUAUUAUCGUCUGCCCGUUUUAUAUGCACGAAAACAUUACACACUUCUAUUAUUUAAUUGAAAAGGGUGACUCCUAAGCUGGCACCAACCCGUCAAUACCCACAUAGGCAACUCCUAAGUUGACACCAAUACUGCCCACAUGACUACUCCUAAUAUGAAGCAACUAUGAUCAUAGAUAUGCUGGUGGUUAACUCUGUGGAUUUAGAGGUUAAUUAAUACAAAUGUAGAUGGGAAGUGGUUAGUGUUGGCAAUCAGAAAUUAUCAGCAGUUAGGAUUAAGCUAAUGGAAGUAAAAGACGAUCUCUUUAUAUGGCAUUUUUUGUGGCUUAGAUGUAGCUCGCAAAUUAUAAUAUGGUUCUAAAGAUAUGAUUCUAUGGUUGUUCUUAUUAGUAUUAGCACCAGAAUCUAUGGUUGUUCUUAUUCGUAUUAGCAAGGGCAAGUUGUCUCAGAAUUUGGCUAAAAACGUAUGAUUUUGGUUUGGUGUAUUCGCACCAUGUUCGUUUAGCUUUUGUAAAUCUUUAUGGCUUUGUGGGAGUUGAUUCUGAUGUAAAAGAAUGUUUAUAAAAAUUCUUGACUGUAUACACUUACGUUGUACUACUUCUGAGGAUACACUAAUGUAUGUGCACAUAACUUUUGAUUUCCAGCUGCAAUUUCCAUUGUUUGUACUUAACUAAUACUAGAAUUUCAUUGACAUUAAUGGAUAUAAGUUUUGGACUAAGAUCAUACAAAAUGCCUCUCUCGCUCGAACCUGUUCUAUGAUCCUCAAAUCUAGUUUUCUGGAUCUUCAAUUCACGAAAAACUAUGUAUUAUCUCAAUCAUCUGUUGUUCAUGUUGCAGUGUUCACAGUAUUCUUUCAAUUUUCUGGAAAAUCUCAUUGGAGGAUUCUUUCUUGACAUCUCUCAUAUUAGGGGCAAUAGAUAGGACCUCUAGAGGGAGGUCUGCAAUCAAGAUUGGAAGCAGGAAUGUUGUCGCUAUGGAUCGAAAG